UACGUAGGGGGCAAGCGUUAUCCGGAUUUACUGGGUGUAAAGGGAGCGCAGACGGCAGUGCAAGUCUGAUGUGAAAGCCCGGGGCUCAACCCCGGAACUGCAUUGGAAACUGUACAGCUUGAGUAUCGGAGAGGUAAGCGGAAUUCCUAGUGUAGCGGUGAAAUGCGUAGAUAUUAGGAGGAACACCGGUGGCGAAGGCGGCUUACUGGACGACAACUGACGUUGAGGCUCGAAAGCGUGGGGAGCAAACAGGAUUAGAUACCCUGGUAGUCCCU
This 275-nucleotide ribosomal RNA is filed under the name uncultured prokaryote. RNAcentral's name for it is "partial 16S ribosomal RNA". It matches the Rfam family "Bacterial small subunit ribosomal RNA", at positions 524 to 798 of the family's 1533-position model. The record is from RNAcentral.